GGAGGUCGGCCGCGGACGAACCGCUCGCCAACCCGGUCAGGUCCGGAAGGAAGCAGCCGUAACGAGUUUAUGUUUCGGGUCGCGUGUUCGGUCUCCCAC
RNAcentral lists this signal recognition particle RNA (99 nucleotides) under Rhodospirillales bacterium. RNAcentral's name for it is "signal recognition particle sRNA small type". It matches the Rfam family "Bacterial small signal recognition particle RNA". Rfam says of the family: The signal recognition particle (SRP) is a universally conserved ribonucleoprotein involved in the co-translational targeting of proteins to membranes. Lineage: Bacteria; Pseudomonadati; Pseudomonadota; Alphaproteobacteria; Rhodospirillales. The record is from RNAcentral.